RNAcentral lists this ribosomal RNA (864 nucleotides) under Triticum aestivum (bread wheat). Its description in RNAcentral is "partial small subunit ribosomal RNA". The record is from RNAcentral. Lineage: Eukaryota; Viridiplantae; Streptophyta; Magnoliopsida; Poales; Poaceae.
AUGUGUGCUGUAGCCUGCCUUGCUGCUGCCCACCCGAGGCCUUCUUGGUCUUGCUUCAAUUUGGUUUCAACCGGCAAGUUCCUCUUUGCUGAACGUCCACACGACCACAACCGGGACCUUGUUCUACUACGUUUUGGACACGCCGAGUUCCUCGAAGGCCACGGAUGCCUAGUAUGUCUCAAGACCUGGACCGACAAGUACCACGACACCCGGAGCCCUCGGAUCCGUCAAGUUCGACUACCCUCGUGUGUACCACUACCGUCGCCCCGAAGACUUUGGAGUCAUCAAGUACCUCUCCGAACGAACGUGAACAACUACCAUCGCAAGAAUGGGACCGGCAAGUCCGAAGACCCCAAGUACCAUGACACCGAUGACAUGAACAUCUACGGAAUGUGUACGUCUACGCGAUGUGAUGCCAAGUUCGAUGACGACCGUGUACCACUACCGCUCCUCGAACAUGAACGACUACAUCCUCUUCGACUCGUGAACCUAUACUUUCAAUAUGAUCCGCGAGUACCACUACUUCCACUACGAACUCGAACCGCCACAAAAACGCACACUUCAAAGCUUCGGUUCCGUUCCAUAGUUGUGAGGAUUCUUUCGACUCCGUCCGUUUGUCUUCUUCAUGGACUCGUUCAUCUUCCUUGCGGGAUUUCAGGCAAGAUGACCAUACCCCCGAAAUCACUUCUAUCUUUGCUUGCUAGUUGUUCGCUCUAUUGCUAUGCCGUGCUACCUACCACUUGUUAUAUCAUGCCUCCCAUAUCACCAUGUCAAGCCUCUAACCCACCUUUCCUAGCAAACCGUUGUUUGGCUAUGUUACCGCUUUUGCUCAGCCCCUCUUAUAGCGUUGCUAGUUGCAGGUGA